CCUACGGGUGGCAGCAGUGAGGAAUAUUGGUCAAUGGGCGCGAGCCUGAUCCAGCCAAGUAGCGUGAAGGAUGACUGCCCUCCGGGUUGUAAACUUCUUUUAUAAAGGAAUAAACUGAAGCACGUGUGCCUUUUGCUAUGUACUUUAUGAACAAGGGUAGCCUAACUCCGUGCCAGCAGCCGCGGUAAUACGGAGGAUCCGAGCGUUAGCCGGAUUUAUUGGGUUUAAAGGGAGCGUAGAUGGGUUGUUAAGUCAGUUGUGAAAGUUUGCGGCUCAACCGUAAAAUUGCAAUUGAUACUGGCAGUCUGGAGUACAGUUGAGGGAGGCAGAAUUCGUGGUGUAGCGGUGAAAUGCGUAGAGAUCACGAAGAACGCCGAUUGCGAAGGCAGCUUACUAAACUGCCACUGACAUUGAUGCGCGAAAGUGUGGGUAUCAAACAGGAUUAGAUACCCGUGUAGUC
This 460-nucleotide ribosomal RNA is filed under the name uncultured bacterium. Its description in RNAcentral is "partial 16S ribosomal RNA". It matches the Rfam family "Bacterial small subunit ribosomal RNA", at positions 338 to 795 of the family's 1533-position model. The record is from RNAcentral.